This 23-nucleotide microRNA is filed under the name Magallana gigas (Pacific oyster). RNAcentral's name for it is "Mgi-Mir-184-P8a_5p* (star (passenger))". Lineage: Eukaryota; Metazoa; Mollusca; Bivalvia; Ostreida; Ostreidae. The record is from RNAcentral.
CUUUGUCAUACAUUCGUCACGGU